Molecule: transfer RNA, 85 nt
Filed under: Leucobacter sp. cx-169
Lineage: Bacteria; Bacillati; Actinomycetota; Actinomycetes; Micrococcales; Microbacteriaceae
Description: tRNA-Ser
Rfam family: tRNA
About the family: Transfer RNA (tRNA) molecules are approximately 80 nucleotides in length.
Source: RNAcentral
GGAUGGUUGGCAGAGCGGCCGAAUGCACAGGUCUUGAAAACCUGAGCCCUUCACGGGGCCCCGAGUUCGAAUCUCGGACCAUCCG